UACGGAGGGUGCAAGCGUUGUCCGGAAUCACUGGGCGUAAAGGGCGCGUAGGCGGCUCAUGAAGGCUGUGGUGAAAGUCCGGGGCUCAACCUCGGAUCGGCCGUGGCGACUCGUGGGCUGGAGCACUGUAGAGGCGGGCGGAAUUCCGGGUGUAGCGGUGGAAUGCGUAGAGAUCCGGAAGAACACCAGUGGCGAAGGCGGCCCGCUGGGCAGUGGCUGACGCUGAGGCGCGACAGCGUGGGGAGCAAACAGG
Molecule: ribosomal RNA, 253 nt
Filed under: uncultured bacterium
Lineage: Bacteria
Description: partial 16S ribosomal RNA
Rfam family: Bacterial small subunit ribosomal RNA
Source: RNAcentral